GGCUAGGCUUGUAAAAAUUUAUACUUUAUUUGGUUUUUAUUAUAGUUGGGUUUAUUAUUUUUAAUAAUCAUAGGUUAAAUUUUGAUUAUUUUUAGUUUUUAACUAUAAUUUUAAGAUUUGGUAAGCGAAUUAGAUUAGUACCUAAUUAGUCAAAAGUUAAAAAGGCAGGAGUAAAGUUGUGUUUAAACUGAAAGAAUAUUGGCAGAUUUUCUAAAUUAUCUUUGGAGGCUGAGUAAUAAUUGAGAACCCUCAUUAACUACUUUUAAAUAUUUGUCUCAUGUAUGAUCGUUUAUUUUAUGCUUAAGGUAUAUAAUGAAAAAUUUUUAUUUGUUAAAAUAGAUAUAUAUUUGGUUUAUGUAAGAGUAAAAUUUGGCCUACAAUAAGUUGUGUUUGUGGAUUUAUAAUUUAGUAGUUAUAAUUAAAAUGUAAAAGACAGUAAAAAAAUUUUUAUGUUUUUUUGAAGAGUAUUUAGAUGUGGCA
RNAcentral lists this ribosomal RNA (480 nucleotides) under Cyclodontostomum purvisi. RNAcentral's name for it is "partial small subunit ribosomal RNA". The record is from RNAcentral. Lineage: Eukaryota; Metazoa; Nematoda; Chromadorea; Rhabditida; Strongylidae.